Molecule: ribosomal RNA, 253 nt
Filed under: uncultured bacterium
Lineage: Bacteria
Description: partial 16S ribosomal RNA
Rfam family: Bacterial small subunit ribosomal RNA
Source: RNAcentral
UACGGAGGGUGCAAGCGUUAUCCGGAUUCACUGGGUUUAAAGGGUGCGUAGGAGGGCAGGUAAGUCAGUGGUGAAAUCCCCGAGCUUAACUUGGGAACUGCCGUUGAUACUAUCUGUCUUGAAUGUUGUGGAGGUAAGCGGAAUAUGUCAUGUAGCGGUGAAAUGCUUAGAUAUGACAUAGAACACCAAUUGCGAAGGCAGCUUGCUACAGGGGCAUUGACACUGAGGCACGAAAGCGUGGGGAUCAAACAGG